This 122-nucleotide small RNA is filed under the name unclassified sequences. RNAcentral describes it as "LOOT RNA". It matches the Rfam family "LOOT RNA". Rfam says of the family: Latescibacteria, OD1/Parcubacteria, OP11, TM7. Lineage (Microgenomates, aka OP11) The record is from Rfam by way of RNAcentral.
CACCUAACCCUGUCGGCUUCGGUCGGCAGGUAUGGUGAGAAGUCCAGUAAGACAUGAAGAUCCCAUCGUGGGGUUGUCUUACUGGCCAUAUCGGGAAACCGGUAUGUCUGGCGCAAGCCGGA